GAUCCUGGCUCAGAUUGAACGCUGGCGGCAGGCCUAACACAUGCAAGUCGAGCGGCAGCACGGGUACUUGUACCUGGUGGCGAGCGGCGGACGGGUGAGUAAUGCCUAGGAAUCUGCCUGGUAGUGGGGGAUAACGCUCGGAAACGGACGCUAAUACCGCAUACGUCCUACGGGAGAAAGCAGGGGACCUUCGGGCCUUGCGCUAUCAGAUGAGCCUAGGUCGGAUUAGCUAGUUGGUGAGGUAAUGGCUCACCAAGGCGACGAUCCGUAACUGGUCUGAGAGGAUGAUCAGUCACACUGGAACUGAGACACGGUCCAGACUCCUACGGGAGGCAGCAGUGGGGAAUAUUGGACAAUGGGCGAAAGCCUGAUCCAGCCAUGCCGCGUGUGUGAAGAAGGUCUUCGGAUUGUAAAGCACUUUAAGUUGGGAGGAAGGGCAUUUACCUAAUACGUAAGUGUUUUGACGUUACCGACAGAAUAAGCACCGGCUAACUCUGUGCCAGCAGCCGCGGUAAUACAGAGGGUGCAAGCGUUAAUCGGAAUUACUGGGCGUAAAGCGCGCGUAGGUGGUUCGUUAAGUUGGAUGUGAAAUCCCCGGGCUCAACCUGGGAACUGCAUUCAAAACUGACGAGCUAGAGUAUGGUAGAGGGUGGUGGAAUUUCCUGUGUAGCGGUGAAAUGCGUAGAUAUAGGAAGGAACACCAGUGGCGAAGGCGACCACCUGGACUGAUACUGACACUGAGGUGCGAAAGCGUGGGGAGCAAACAGGAUUAGAUACCCUGGUAGUCCACGCCGUAAACGAUGUCAACUAGCCGUUGGGAGCCUUGAGCUCUUAGUGGCGCAGCUAACGCAUUAAGUUGACCGCCUGGGGAGUACGGCCGCAAGGUUAAAACUCAAAUGAAUUGACGGGGG
RNAcentral lists this ribosomal RNA (911 nucleotides) under arctic soil bacterium S3P1. RNAcentral describes it as "bacterial SSU rRNA". It matches the Rfam family "Bacterial small subunit ribosomal RNA", at positions 15 to 919 of the family's 1533-position model. The record is from RNAcentral.